This 912-nucleotide ribosomal RNA is filed under the name uncultured archaeon. RNAcentral's name for it is "bacterial SSU rRNA". It matches the Rfam family "Archaeal small subunit ribosomal RNA", at positions 1 to 922 of the family's 1478-position model. The record is from RNAcentral.
UUCCGGUUGAUCCUGCCGGAGGCUACCGCUAUUGGAGUUCGGUUAAGCCAUGCGAGUCUAGAGGCCUAGCCUCGGCGUACCGCUCAGUAACACGUGGGUAACCUACCCUAUGCUGGGGAAUAAGCUCGGGAAACUGAGAAUAAUACCCCAUAGUCCACUACGCCUGGAACGGUGAGUGGAUCAAAGCUCCGGCGGCAUAGGAUGGGCCUGCGGCGUAUCAGGUUGUAGGGGGUGUAAUGUACCCUCUAGCCAUCCACGCGUACGGGUGUUGGGAGACAUUGCCCGGAGAUGGAUUCUGAGACACGAAUCCAGACCCUACGGGGUGCAGCAGGCGCGAAAACUUGGCAAUGCGAGAAAUCGUGACCAGGGAACUCCAAGUGGCAGGGGUAAGACCCUGUCUUUUUCCGACUCUAAAUAGGUCGGCGAAUAAGGGGUGGGUAAGGACGGUGCCAGCCGCCGCGGUAAUACCGGCGCCUCAAGUGGUAGUCGCUUUUAUUGGGCCUAAAACGUCCGUAGCCGGUCUGGUACAUUCGUGGGUAAAUCAACUCGCUCAACGAGUUGAAUUCUGCGAGGACGGCCAGACUUGGGACCGGGAGAGGUGUGGGGUACUCUCAGGGUAGGGGUAAAAUCCUGUCAUCCUGAGAGGACCACCUGUUGCGAAGGCUCCACACUAGAACGGAUCCGACGGUCAGGGACGAAGCCUAGGGGCACGAACCGGAUUAGAUACCCGGGUAGUCCUAGGUGUAAACGCUGUGGACUUGAUGUUGGGGACGCUCCGAGCGUUCUCAGUGUCGAAGCGAAGGUGAUAAGUCCACUGCCUGGGGAGUACGGUCGCAAGGCUGAAACUUAAAGGAAUUGGCGGGGGAGCACCGCAACCUGAGGAUUGUGCGGUUUAAUUGGAUCAACGCCGGA